GGGCAAUGGGCGGGGCUAAAGGUUAAAAAAGGGAGCGGUUUCUUUAUUUAAAAUUUUUAAAAUUUAAAUUUUGUGUUGUAGGUUCUUUAAGCAUUGACGAGCUAAAGACCAUUUUAAAUUCUAAGCCUAGGGAAGCUUACAAUGGAACUAAUCAGAUGUUUUUAUGUCGGUUUGUUCCGAGACAGUGGAAGACUGGAGGUCAUGUGCUUGUGUCUAAUGUUUAGCAAAAUCUUAGUGAAACGAGGGCGAUAGGAAUGGGGGCUGGGGAAGACUUAGAUGGGAUAAAAAGAGGUGCGGCUGGAAGAACUAAAUCACUUUAAAACUUCUGAAAAUAAAUGUUGACCAUUGUAGUCAGAGGAGUAAAAUGUUCAGAGAAAUGGGGAUGAUUAAACAAGAACGGCAAGCCAGAUUGAGUCAGAAAAUUAUCUUCCUGCCAGAAAUUCUGUCUCCCACAACGGCAUCAGGGGGUGGUUACUUGCCCAGGGUGUAGUCAGUUUUUAAAAAGCUUAAGGGUUACCAACAUAUUCCUAAAUUUCCUGAAUUUGCUGUGAUUCCAGGAUUCAUUUAAACUCUUGAGACUGUUUUACUUUCGGCACGAAAUCAGCUCAUGGGCUUUAUAAAUGUAGAACCUACUGCAUUAUAGUUCUUCUUUUUGUUUAUUCUAAAACUGUUAGUAGCAGCCAGCGUAUUAUAUGAUUUGGAUUGGGCCAUGAACAACCGUAACGAGUGAUAAAGCACCCUUUCCUGUUCCAAUGCAAAGAACAACUAUGAAAAGAAAGUACUGGCAAAUUUAUCAUCUUGUAGUUAGUUCCUGGCCAAAGAAAAUGAAGCUACUCAAGGAUGUGCUCCACCAAAAUGAGGAUAUGAAGCCAAUAUAAAGGAAGGCAAUGAAUACAAGAGACAGGCAAAGGGAGUUCCCAGGACAUAAGCAAGGGACGUCCCAGGUAGCAAGUGUGCACCUGGUGUCCAGGGCCAUCUGUCCAGGGAGAAGUCAGCUGCCAUGUCAUGAAGACGCUCGAGUAGCCCUAUGAGAUUCCCAUGUGAACAGAAAUUGAGUCCUCCUGCCAACAAUCAGCCAUAAUUUGCAAGACACGUACAUGAGCUACCUUAGAAGAGAAUCCCUGGGCCCCAGAUAAGCCUUCAGGUGAAUGCAGCCCUGGAAGACAUCUUAACUGCAACCUCAUGAGAGACCCUGAGCCAGAACCAACCAGCUAAGGCACUGCCCGAUUCCUGACCUACACGCAUGGGGGUGUGAGAUAAUGUUUAUUGUGCUAAGCCACUAAGUUUUGCUAUAAUUUGUCAUGUAGAAAUAGAUAAUGAAUACAUGCUGGCAGGUAGGAAGGAAAUCAUCAGAGACAUGUUCAGGAAGAAUUAAUACUAGGAAAGAAAGUGUACCCCCACCCCCACCAAAAAACCAUGGAUAUGUUUUUUAUGCAUUUAAAAAUGCAUAUUAAAAUUAUAAUGAGAUUCUACUUUUCAUGAGAUCAGCUAAAAUUGAAAUCUGAUAGUACCAAGUGUCUCAUACACUGCUGUCAGAACAUAAAUUGGUACAAUCAGUUUUCAGAAAACAGUUUUACAUUACCUAGUAAAGGUGAAGUUACACAUACCACCAGAUAGAUUAUCAACAUCCUACCCUUAUAUGCACACACCAGAAAUAAGUGCACAUGUACAUCGAAAAAUAUGUACAUCAAUGUUCAUAGCAGUAUUACUCAUAAAAACCUGAAACCAGAAACAAGUAUCCCUCAACGGUAAGAAAAUUGUGGAAGAUUCAUUCACUAGCAUACUGUACGUUAAGUGAAAAUCAACAAAAUAUAGCUACAGGCAAUAAUGUGGAUGAGGCUUAAAAACAAUGUUGAGUGGAAAAGGUCCCACACAAAGGAAUAUAUAUAGUAUGAAUCUAUUUAUGUGAAGUUCAAAGGGAGGCAGAGUUAAGCUAUUUGUUUUAGGGAUGAUUACUUAGGAGGUAAAUACAUAAAGAAAAGUAAGAAAAGUGAAUACCAUAAAUGUCAGAAUAAUGGUUUCUUUAGGGAGGAUUAUAUACAGGUUGUGAUUGGAAAGGGGCUAUGGGUGGGGGCUUUCGGAGGUGUUUACAAUAUAUCAUUUCUUUUUUUUGUUGUUUCCUUUAAA
RNAcentral lists this long non-coding RNA (2127 nucleotides) under Homo sapiens (human). Its description in RNAcentral is "HSALNT0315306". Lineage: Eukaryota; Metazoa; Chordata; Mammalia; Primates; Hominidae. The record is from RNAcentral.